UUGAUAAUUUUUGAAGGGAGUUGUUCUCGCUAGCUUUCCCAUAAGUCUUCUAUUGACAAGGGUGUAUUUAGGAUAUGAAGUUUGAAGGUAAUUGUCUGCCAAAUGAAUGAAGCAUAAGAAUAAGAAAUAUACAAGGCCACACUUACACUGACUUGGGCCUUCGUAGCUUUCGAUGGAGUUCAUACUAGCGAGUGUCUAAGUGGGGACUCAUGUGAAGACCUUCUAAUUCUUAUAGUUGUCAUCUCUUCAAACUCUCCUCUCUCUCUACCUUGAAACCAUCCAAUUUUCCUCUCUCUCUUUUUUGCACUUACUGCAUUCUUUGUAGCCAAAGUGGAUCUCUAAUCGCCGAAUAGGGAGGAAUGGAUUUAGGAAAGGAAACCCUAGAUGGAGAAGAGGGGAGAAAAGGUUAGAGAGGGACUGCAAUACUUUCUUUCCACAUCAUCCCUGAUGCCAUGUAAGUAUGUCAGGUGAUAUUACUUGACGGUGGCCAAAACGAUUUUAUAUCCC
This 507-nucleotide long non-coding RNA is filed under the name Elaeis guineensis (African oil palm). Its description in RNAcentral is "long non-coding RNA (EGUI_LNC043356)". The record is from RNAcentral. Lineage: Eukaryota; Viridiplantae; Streptophyta; Magnoliopsida; Arecales; Arecaceae.